This 355-nucleotide unclassified non-coding RNA is filed under the name Hevea brasiliensis (rubber tree). Lineage: Eukaryota; Viridiplantae; Streptophyta; Magnoliopsida; Malpighiales; Euphorbiaceae. The record is from RNAcentral.
GUAGAUUCAUUAUAUUCUCUCUAAUGGACACUCUGUGAAAUAUCUGAGCUUCCAUAAAUGUGUCUUUGUGUGUGUUUAAGUUUAUGUAAAAUAUAGUUUUGUGAUCUUGGAAUGAGUAUGAUUUGAUCAUUUUGAAGUAAUAAUAAACAUAAUUCCAACACAAAAUGUGAUUGCAUCUGACUAAUUCUAAGCAAACAACCAGGAAAUGUUAAAUUGAAAGGGGAUGACUGUGAAGAUAUACCUAGGAUUAUAAACAACCAAUGUUGUAAACAAAGAUGUUUGUGCAAUAAAGUUCAUUCAGGUGUAGAUGUCGUAAAAAAAUAAAUUAUUUUUGGUCGUGAAGGAGUAUCGGAGU